Molecule: ribosomal RNA, 691 nt
Filed under: uncultured Bacteroides sp.
Lineage: Bacteria; Pseudomonadati; Bacteroidota; Bacteroidia; Bacteroidales; Bacteroidaceae
Description: bacterial SSU rRNA
Rfam family: Bacterial small subunit ribosomal RNA
Source: RNAcentral
AACGCUAGCUACAGGCUUAACACAUGCAAGUCGAGGGGCAUCGGGGAGUAGCAAUACUCUGCCGGCGACCGGCGCACGGGUGAGUAACGCGUAUGCAACUUACCUAUCAGAGGAGAAUAGCUCAUCGAAAGAUGAAUUAAUGCUCCAUAAAACAGGGGUCCCGCAUGGGAAUAUUUGUUAAAGAUUCAUCGCUGAUAGAUAGGCAUGCGUUCCAUUAGGCAGUUGGCGGGGUAACGGCCCACCAAACCGACGAUGGAUAGGGGUUCUGAGAGGAAGGUCCCCCACAUUGGUACUGAGACACGGACCAAACUCCUACGGGAGGCAGCAGUGAGGAAUAUUGGUCAAUGGCCGAGAGGCUGAACCAGCCAAGUCGCGUGAAGGAUGAAGGAUCUAUGGUUCGUAAACUUCUUUUAUACGGGAAUAAAGUGAGUCACGCGUGGCUUUUUGUAUGUACCGUAUGAAUAAGCAUCGGCUAACUCCGUGCCAGCAGCCGCGGUAAUACGGAGGAUGCGAGCGUUAUCCGGAUUUAUUGGGUUUAAAGGGUGCGUAGGUGGUUUCUUAAGUCAGCGGUGAAAGUUUGUGGCUUAACCAUAAAAUUGCCAUUGAUACUGGGAGACUUGAGUAUGUUUGAGGUAGGCGGAAUGCGUGGUGUAGCGGUGAAAUGCAUAGAUAUCACGAAGAACUCCGAUUG